Molecule: long non-coding RNA, 3856 nt
Filed under: Sus scrofa (pig)
Lineage: Eukaryota; Metazoa; Chordata; Mammalia; Artiodactyla; Suidae
Description: lncRNA (ENSSSCG00060052930.1)
Source: RNAcentral
AGUACUUCCUCAGUUACAUUAGCUGCAUUUCCAAUUUUAUUUUUAUUAUUUGUUAUUAUUAUUAUUAUUUUUGGCUGUGCACGUGGCAUGCAGAAGUUCCCAGGCCAGGGAUCGAAUUCACACCACAGCAGUGACAAUGCCAGAUGUUUAACUGCUAGGCCACCAGGGAAUUCCUAUAAUUUGACCCUCAAUAUUUUAUUAACUUCAGAGUCUAUAAAACUGGUUGGAAAGACCAUAUCUUGUGCCUCUUUGAAUCCUUUUAAACUUGGUUUAGUAAUGCUGAUCAUCAUAAUGAUGAUGAUUCUGAGACUUACAGAGCAUUUACAAGGCAUUCUCAGUCAUCUCAUUGGAUCCUUACAAACUAAAAGUUAGGCAUGGCCAUUGCCACUUUUACAGAUGACAAAACUGACUGCAGAGACACAAAGUGAUUUUUGCCUAAGGCCACCUAGCUAGUAAGUGACGGAGCCAGAGCUGAAGCUCAAGACUAUGGAUUCCAGAUGUCAUGCUUCCUCCUCUUAGGUUUUUGCUGCCUGUGGGUUCUGAAAGCCUUUCCAGCACUUACGGGAGGAUGCUCCUCCCCACCCCACCCCAUGCAGACCCAUUCGAAGAGCACUCCAUCUCCAUCCAACAAUUAUCUAAGUUGAAGUCGUCCAUCCUGCAUUUUUAAGUUAUUUUCCAGAUAAUGAACAUUUUUAACCAAUACAGGGUGCCCGAUACUAAUCACACAGAGCAAUCCGUAGGUGUAGGAAUUGCAUUUACCUUCCAAGCCCUAAUUGUGUUCAUUUCUUUGGGAGAACUUCUUCAACUGCCUGUCUUCAAGAGACUCUUAAAGCUCCCAAGAAAUUGCUAAGUGAUACUAGGAAUACACUUGCCUGAAUCUAGAGAUUUUGGGUAAGUAGCCUCUAAUUUAUCAUUUUACAUUACAGAAAGCCUGGAGAAUUAUAUAAAAGCCUUUGGCUUUUGCAGCUGUAUGUAAAAAUAUUCCCAAACUAGAGGAGCCCUCGAUCAUUAAUGAUGUCUAAACACUGACCCUGGAGAAAUCACUGUGUGUCUAGUCAUUCCCAAGGACAUGCCAGCUGUAAAAGCCAUGCAAGGAAGUACCUCCACCAGCAGGCCCUUGUCUUCUUUCCCAGACUUAAGCUGUCAGUGGAAAAGAGGUAAACAGAGACAGAAGUUGAGAACUCAGUCUCUGGAGUCGGGCCAGGCUGGGUGUGACCCUAGCUCCACCCCUUACCAGCUGUGGGGCUUAUGCAUAUCGCUUAACUUCAUUCAUCGAUUCCACAAAUAGUUGCUCAGUGAGCACCUACUAAAUGCCAGCUGACCAUUGUAGGUACUGAGACAAAGGAGUGAAAAAACAAAACUAUUGGAGUUCCUGAUGUGGCACAAAGGAACAUCAGUGGUGUCUUGGGAGCGCUGUGACUCAGGUUUAAUUCCAGAUAGGCACAGUGGGUUAAGAAUCAGGCAUUGCUGCAGCUCAAUAUUUAGCCUCGAUUUUAGAUUUUAAAAACAUUUGGUAUUGCUUGUUUAUAUUUUGAGCCACUCCAAAACCCUGCUUUUUAGAAAAUUCUUGAGGGAUUUCCCUCAGUGGGGCAUGUAUGAGAAACAGUCUCUGGAGCUUUGGGCCACAUGGACGGGAACUGUGAGGGCAACGGGAGAGUUACGUCCACUUGGUGAACACAGCCAUGGUCAUGAUCAGAACUUGCUCAGGUGGCCUUUGCACAGAUAUUCAUAGAAGAGCUUCCUUUUCGGUUUUAUUCUGAAGGGAUUCUGCUGAUACUAUUUUUACCACUGGAAUUUCUGUCUGCCCAGAACACAAUUUUAAAGUUUCAAAUGAAACAUUUACCUGAAUCCCUGACAUUACAGCUCACAUUCAUUUCCUUUCCUCUUGCCCUCCAGGUCUCAGCAGUGAGAUGGCCCAGCCAAGAAAGAGAUCCCCCCCCACUCCUGCUCAGAUCUGAUACCUGGGCUUUUCCUUGGGCCUCUCUGGGAUGUACCAAAACCCAAAGCCCAUGUACUGGCCAACCCUCCUUGGUACAGACACCAGGUCCAGAAUCACUCUGUCUUUGACAGUCAAGUGCACGGUCCUUUUCUCCUGCUCCCAAAGGAUCACACUAUCCUUCCUUGGUCUUUUUGUCAUUGAGAAUCCAUUUCCCAUUGGGAUCUGGAGUUCACUUCCUUGCUUCAAAUUUUUGAGAUGGGUUGAAACAAUAAGUAAGGUCAAAUUGUAUGAAAUUGCCAAAUAUCAGCUAUUUUUUUUUUUUUUUUUUAACCUAAAGGAAGGAAGGAGGGGAGGAAGAAAAGCUUAAAGAAGCCAGGGCUGGAAAUAGGUAACUACUCAUCUAUUCUGCUCUUUAAUGAUAAUUGUAGUUGAUGGAAUGUUUCCUCUUUAUGAAGUACUGGGCCAAGCAAAAUUUUACAUACAUCAUCUCAGUCAUUGUAGCAAGUGCAUGAAGUCCAGCUCCCUCUAUCAUCUCAUUCAAUUUCCAGUUUAAGGAUGCAAAACUGAGGGUUAGAGUUGUCAAGAGUCUUUCCCAAGGUCCUUCAACUCUAACCAGAGAAGCCAAGAGCUAUAUGCUAUAUCUUCUAUGUGACAAGGAUGGAUUACAAAUCAUUAAUCUCAAUAACUUCCACUACCUUCUUGUAAUCACCUAUGUUGUCAUUAUUAUAAGAGUAAUAGUGUUCAAUAUAGGAAAUCUGAAAAUUGUAUAACAUAUGACAGAAAAAAAUUAAAAAUGCAUAAAUCAAAGAUAAGUUCUACUAAUAUUCUGGAGUCUCUCUCAUUCUGUUUUUCUGAUUUAUUCUGCUUUUUAACAAAUUUGGAAUUGUCCUGUUUAUAUUGCUUUGUACCCUGCCUUAAAAAAAUAAAUACUAUGUCAUGAGUAUUAUUCCAAAUCAUUAAAAAUUCUCCAAAAAAGUGUUUGGUCGCAUUAUAUUGAUAUAUAAGUACUAUAACAUUAAUUGUUCAAUUGUUUUCUUCUUGUUGGAAAAUAAGUUCAUGUAUUUUGCUGUUAUAUGAUAAAGAUCCUUGAACAAAAGUCUCUGUUUUUAGUCCCCAGUGGCAGCCAAGUUUGUCUUAGAGAUGAUCUCCUUCUGACAAAUGUCAUCAGUUACAUUUUCUGGUUGUUUAGUCACAAUGGAGUUGAUACAGCACACCUGCUGGGAGCUGACACAGCUGUGCCUGUGGUGUGAGGGCCAGGCCAAAGGCCAACAACGGGCAGAGUGGCUGGACCUGCAGCCACUGCCCACUCGGUGCUGCUCUGGGCUCAGCCUGGUGAGGACUUCCUGGGGGAAGUGGGAGGAGCAGAGUGGCGGAAGCAGGGAGAGCGCAAGUGUGGCUACUGUCCUGCACCCCUGAGAGCUCACCAGCGGCACAGAGCAGCUCACCUUGGUCCAGCCUUGGCACGUAGGGUGGCACCUAUCAUGUGGCUUGGGACACUGCACAUGUCCUCAGGCCUUCCUUCUGCAGCACACUUUCUAACCACCACAAACAAAACAGAGGACAGUGAGCAAAACACUUCCUUUUAGUUCCUCUUACCUUCCUUCAAUCCCCAAACCUACUUGUAAGUGGUCAAACUCACUUUCCCCACUCAGAGAAGAAAGGAGGGGGCUGACUUCUUUCACUGGGGACAGGGAGAAGAAAGGAAAGGGAAGAAGGCAGAAACAUAGCCAUUAGACUACAUUACCAGUUUCAUCUCUGGCUUCAUGCUUUCUUUCCUAAAGACUCACAUUUUGUAAUAUUUUAAAGCACUUAACUCAGUAAGAUUUAUUGAAUGUGUACUAUGUGCAAAGCACUGUGUUUAAGGCAGUGGAGAAUGGAAAUGGCCAAGGCCUAUCUUAAAAAAAAAAAAAAAAAAAA